GACGAACGCUGGCGGCGUGCUUAACACAUGCAAGUCGAACGGAAAGGCCCUGCUUUUGUGGGGUGCUCGAGUGGCGAACGGGUGAGUAACACGUGAGUAACCUGCCCUUGACUUUGGGAUAACUUCAGGAAACUGGGGCUAAUACCGGAUAGGAGCUCCUGCUGCAUGGUGGGGGUUGGAAAGUUUCGGCGGUUGGGGAUGGACUCGCGGCUUAUCAGCUUGUUGGUGGGGUAGUGGCUUACCAAGGCUUUGACGGGUAGCCGGCCUGAGAGGGUGACCGGCCACAUGGGGACUGAGAUACGGCCCAGACUCCUACGGGGGGCAGCAGUGGGGAAUAUUGCACAAUGGGCGGAAGCCUGAUGCAGCAACGCCGCGUGCGGGAUGACGGCCUUCGGGUUGUAAACCGCUUUCGCCUGUGACGAAGCGUGAGUGACGGUAAUGGGUAAAGAAGCACCGGCUAACUACGU
Molecule: ribosomal RNA, 467 nt
Filed under: uncultured bacterium
Lineage: Bacteria
Description: partial 16S ribosomal RNA
Rfam family: Bacterial small subunit ribosomal RNA
Source: RNAcentral